AGCUGCGCGGUGAACACAGAGCGAACUAUUCUUUCGCCUUUUACUAAAGAAUACCGUGUGUUCGCAGCAUUAAGCAGCAUACGCAUGUUUUUGGAGGGUUCACCAUCAACGGUGGUU
Molecule: small nuclear RNA, 117 nt
Filed under: Thalictrum thalictroides
Lineage: Eukaryota; Viridiplantae; Streptophyta; Magnoliopsida; Ranunculales; Ranunculaceae
Description: U5 spliceosomal RNA
Rfam family: U5 spliceosomal RNA
About the family: U5 RNA is a component of both types of known spliceosome. The precise function of this molecule is unknown, though it is known that the 5' loop is required for splice site selection and p220 binding, and that both the 3' stem-loop and the Sm site are important for Sm protein binding and cap methylation.
Source: Rfam by way of RNAcentral